Molecule: ribosomal RNA, 465 nt
Filed under: uncultured bacterium
Lineage: Bacteria
Description: bacterial SSU rRNA
Rfam family: Bacterial small subunit ribosomal RNA
Source: RNAcentral
GCCAGACUCCUACGGGAGGCAGCAGUGAGGAAUAUUGGUCAAUGGGCGCGAGCCUGAACCAGCCAAGUCGCGUGAGGGAUGACGGCCCUACGGGUUGUAAACCUCUUUUGUCGGGGAGCAAAUUCCGUUACGUGUAACGGAGUCGAGAGUACCCGAAGAAAAAGCAUCGGCUAACUCCGUGCCAGCAGCCGCGGUAAUACGGAGGAUGCGAGCGUUAUCCGGAUUUAUUGGGUUUAAAGGGUGCGUAGGCGGAGUGUCAGGUCAGCGGUAAAAUUUCGGGGCUCAACCCCGUCGUGCCGUUGAAACUGACACCCUUGAGUGAGUGAGAAGUAAGCGGAAUGCGUGGUGUAGCGGUGAAAUGCAUAGAUAUCGCGCAGAACUCCGAUUGCGAAGGCAGCAUGCCGGCUCCACACUGACGCUGAGGCACGAAAGCGUGGGUAUCGAACAGGAUUAGAUACCCGCGUA